This 495-nucleotide long non-coding RNA is filed under the name Dermacentor andersoni. RNAcentral describes it as "uncharacterized LOC126527704". The record is from RNAcentral. Lineage: Eukaryota; Metazoa; Arthropoda; Arachnida; Ixodida; Ixodidae.
UCUGUUGGCGCUUCAUCUUCUGAAAGCUCUGCACCAAGUAGCCCCACAACGUGUUCUACUGGAAAACUACCACUAGACAGUGAUCUUCCAUUUCUUGACCUCAUUGUUUUCUUUGGAAGGACGCAAGCAUUGCUGAGGAGCCAUUUGACCUGCCGCCACACUAAUAUUGUAUUUGGCAAAGCCGAAGGCCUCUGCAAGCAGCCAGUCAUUCCAAGUCUCAACCAAUCCUUCCUCUAGUCAGCCAAUUUCUAGUGUCUAUGCGGAAAGGACUUGCGCAAGAGUGUACACGGGACACUAAAAAAGCGACAAGGACAGGCGUAAACUUCUAACCGGUGUUCAUUACUAAAAGGUAUGUAUAUGUACUCUUGCACACUUGAUCAUAAUCUGUUACAAUCGUGCAAGUCAACAUGGUCAUCACAAAUAAACGAGUGCACCAAGGCCUAAGGCGGCUUCCCGCAUACAGACCCCAGAUAUUCAAAUUCUUUAACAGUCAGU